GACAGAGGGUGCAAACGUUGUUCGGAAUUACUGGGCGUAAAGCGCGUGUAGGCUGCUCCGCAAGUCGGGUGUGAAAGCCCUGGGCUCAACCUAGGAAGUGCACUCGAAACUUCGGAGCUGGAGUCCUGGAGAGGAAGGCGGAAUUCUCGGUGUAGAGGUGAAAUUCGUAGAUAUCGAGAGGAACACCGGUGGCGAAGGCGGCCUUCUGGACAGUGACUGACGCUGAGACGCGAAAGCGUGGGGAGCAAACAGG
RNAcentral lists this ribosomal RNA (253 nucleotides) under uncultured bacterium. Its description in RNAcentral is "partial 16S ribosomal RNA". It matches the Rfam family "Bacterial small subunit ribosomal RNA", at positions 524 to 776 of the family's 1533-position model. The record is from RNAcentral.